GUCCAGGUAUCGCCAAUGUCUAACCUCAAAAAUAAUGUUCCCCGCGAAAAUACAGAAGCCUAUGUCCAGAUUUUAGGGACAGGAAUGGAUACCCACGAAACAUCCCCGUCUGUUCUGCUCUUCUUUAAAAAGGAAAGAUUCAUAUUUAACGCUGGAGAGGGAUUACAACGCUUCUGUACAGAGCAUAAGAUAAAAUUAUCUCAG
Long non-coding RNA from Lycium barbarum (goji berry), 204 nucleotides. RefSeq lists it as uncharacterized. Lineage: Eukaryota; Viridiplantae; Streptophyta; Magnoliopsida; Solanales; Solanaceae. The record is from RefSeq and is a predicted model, not a curated record. The transcript is spliced from 3 exons.